UACGAAGGGUGCAAGCGUUGCUCGGAAUCACUGGGCGUAAAGGGUGCGUAGGUGGCGCCGUAAGUCGGGUGUGAAAUUUCGGAGCUUAACUCCGAAACUGCAUUCGAUACUGCGGUGCUUGAGGACUGGAGAGGAGACUGGAAUUCAUGGUGUAGCAGUGAAAUGCGUAGAGAUCAUGAGGAAGACCAGUGGCGAAGGCGGGUCUCUGGACAGUUCCUGACACUGAGGCACGAAGGCCAGGGGAGCAAACGGG
Molecule: ribosomal RNA, 253 nt
Filed under: uncultured bacterium
Lineage: Bacteria
Description: partial 16S ribosomal RNA
Rfam family: Bacterial small subunit ribosomal RNA
Source: RNAcentral